RNAcentral lists this unclassified non-coding RNA (275 nucleotides) under Variovorax sp. OK212. RNAcentral's name for it is "Long range pseudoknot". Lineage: Bacteria; Pseudomonadati; Pseudomonadota; Betaproteobacteria; Burkholderiales; Comamonadaceae. The record is from RNAcentral. RNAcentral also lists the same sequence under 1 other name.
ACCGACGACGGCGACUACAACAUCAAGAUGCGCAACAUCAAGCGCUUCCUUGAGGACGGCGACAAAUGCAAGAUCACGCUGCGCUUUCGCGGCCGCGAGAUCACGCACCAGGAGCUGGGCCUGGCGCUGUUGCAGCGCAUUCGCGAUGAACUGGGCGACCUGAUCAUGGUCGAGCAGUUCCCGAAGCUCGAAGGCCGGCAGAUGAUCAUGAUGAUCGCGCCGGGCCGCAAGAAGGCCGGCGGUGGUGCACCGAAGCCGGCAGCAGACGCUGCGGC